This 883-nucleotide ribosomal RNA is filed under the name Staphylococcus aureus. Its description in RNAcentral is "partial 23S ribosomal RNA". It matches the Rfam family "Bacterial large subunit ribosomal RNA", at positions 222 to 1103 of the family's 2925-position model. The record is from RNAcentral. Lineage: Bacteria; Bacillati; Bacillota; Bacilli; Caryophanales; Staphylococcaceae.
AAAGAAAAUUCGAUUCCCUUAGUAGCGGCGAGCGAAACGGGAAGAGCCCAAACCAACAAGCUUGCUUGUUGGGGUUGUAGGACACUCUAUACGGAGUUACAAAGGACGACAUUAGACGAAUCAUCUGGAAAGAUGAAUCAAAGAAGGUAAUAAUCCUGUAGUCGAAAAUGUUGUCUCUCUUGAGUGGAUCCUGAGUACGACGGAACACGUGAAAUUCCGUCGGAAUCUGGGAGGACCAUCUCCUAAGGCUAAAUACUCUCUAGUGACCGAUAGUGAACCAGUACCGUGAGGGAAAGGUGAAAAGCACCCCGGAAGGGGAGUGAAAUAGAACCUGAAACCGUGUGCUUACAAGUAGUCAGAGCCCGUUAAUGGGUGAUGGCGUGCCUUUUGUAGAAUGAACCGGCGAGUUACGAUUUGAUGCAAGGUUAAGCAGUAAAUGUGGAGCCGUAGCGAAAGCGAGUCUGAAUAGGGCGUUUAGUAUUUGGUCGUAGACCCGAAACCAGGUGAUCUACCCUUGGUCAGGUUGAAGUUCAGGUAACACUGAAUGGAGGACCGAACCGACUUACGUUGAAAAGUGAGCGGAUGAACUGAGGGUAGCGGAGAAAUUCCAAUCGAACCUGGAGAUAGCUGGUUCUCUCCGAAAUAGCUUUAGGGCUAGCCUCAAGUGAUGAUUAUUGGAGGUAGAGCACUGUUUGGACGAGGGGCCCCUCUCGGGUUACCGAAUUCAGACAAACUCCGAAUGCCAAUUAAUUUAACUUGGGAGUCAGAACAUGGGUGAUAAGGUCCGUGUUCGAAAGGGAAACAGCCCAGACCACCAGCUAAGGUCCCAAAAUAUAUGUUAAGUGGAAAAGGAUGUGGCGUUGCCCAGACAACUAGGAUGUUG